GAUGAACGCUGGCGGCGUGCUUAACACAUGCAAGUCGAACGGAAAGGCCGAAGCUUGCUUCGGUACUCGAGUGGCGAACGGGUGAGUAACACGUGGGUGAUCUGCCCUGUACUUCGGGAUAAGCUUGGGAAACUGGGUCUAAUACCGGAUAUGACGAUCUCUUGGAUGGGGUUGUGGAAAGCUUUUGCGGUAUGGGAUGAGCUCGCGGCCUAUCAGCUUGUUGGUGGGGUAAUGGCCUACCAAGGCGUCGACGGGUAGCCGGCCUGAGAGGGUGUACGGCCACAUUGGGACUGAGAUACGGCCCAGACUCCUACGGGAGGCAGCAGUGGGGAAUGUUGCACAAUGGGCGCAAGCCUGAUGCAGCGACGCCGCGUGGGGGAUGACGGCCUUCGGGUUGUAAACUCCUUUCGCAAUCGACGAAGCCUUUUGGUGACGGUAGGUUGAGAAGAAGCACCGGCUAACUACGUG
This 468-nucleotide ribosomal RNA is filed under the name uncultured bacterium. RNAcentral's name for it is "partial 16S ribosomal RNA". It matches the Rfam family "Bacterial small subunit ribosomal RNA", at positions 28 to 507 of the family's 1533-position model. The record is from RNAcentral.